GACGAACGCUGGCGGCGUGCUUAACACAUGCAAGUCGAGCGGUAAGGCCCCUUCGGGGGUACACGAGCGGCGAACGGGUGAGUAACACGUGGGUGACCUGCCCUCAGCUCUGGGAUAAGCCUGGGAAACCGGGUCUAAUACUGGAUAUGACUCCAUGACGCAUGUUGUGGGGUGGAAAGCCUUGUGCGGCUGAGGAUGGGCCCGCGGCCUAUCAGCUUGUUGGUGGGGUGAUGGCCUACCAAGGCGACGACGGGUAGCCGGCCUGAGAGGGCGACCGGCCACACUGGGACUGAGACACGGCCCAGACUCCUACGGGAGGCAGCAGUGGGGAAUCUUGCGCAAUGGGCGAAAGCCUGACGCAGCGACGCCGCGUGAGGGAUGACGGCCU
RNAcentral lists this ribosomal RNA (388 nucleotides) under uncultured bacterium. RNAcentral's name for it is "bacterial SSU rRNA". It matches the Rfam family "Bacterial small subunit ribosomal RNA", at positions 28 to 417 of the family's 1533-position model. The record is from RNAcentral.